GGUUAAGCGACUAAGCGUACACGGUGGAUGCCCUGGCAGUCAGAGGCGAUGAAGGACGUGCUAAUCUGCGAUAAGCGCCGGUAAGGUGAUAUGAACCGUUAUAACCGGCGAUUUCCGAAUGGGGAAACCCAGUGUGACUCGUCACACUAUCAUUAACUGAAUCCAUAGGUUAAUGAGGCGAACCGGGGGAACUGAAACAUCUAAGUACCCCGAGGAAAAGAAAUCAACCGAGAUUCCCCCAGUAGCGGCGAGCGAACGGGGAGGAGCCCAGAGCCUGAAUCAGCAUGUGUGUUAGUGGAAGCGUCUGGAAAGGCGCGCGAUACAGGGUGACAGCCCCGUACACAAAAGCGCAUGUGCUGUGAGCUCGAUGAGUAGGGCGGGACACGUGGUAUCCUGUCUGAAUAUGGGGGGACCAUCCUCCAAGGCUAAAUACUCCUGACUGACCGAUAGUGAACCAGUACCGUGAGGGAAAGGCGAAAAGAACCCCGGCGAGGGGAGUGAAAAAGAACCUGAAACCGUGUACGUACAAGCAGUGGGAGCACCCUUUGGGGUGUGACUGCGUACCUUUUGUAUAAUGGGUCAGCGACUUAUAUUCUGUAGCAAGGUUAACCGCAUAGGGGAGCCGGAGGGAAACCGAGUCUUAAUUGGGCGUUAAGUUGCAGGGUAUAGACCCGAAACCCGGUGAUCUAGCCAUGGGCAGGUUGAAGGUUGGGUAACACUAACUGGAGGACCGAACCGACUAAUGUUGAAAAAUUAGCGGAUGACCUGUGGCUGGGGGUGAAAGGCCAAUCAAACCGGGAGAUAGCUGGUUCUCCCCGAAAGCUAUUUAGGUAGCGCCUCGUGAACUCAUCUCCGGGGGUAGAGCACUGUUUCGGCUAGGGGGCCAUCCCGGCUUACCAACCCGAUGCAAACUGCGAAUACCGGAGAAUGUUAUCACGGGAGACACACGGCGGGUGCUAACGUCCGUCGUGAAGAGGGAAACAACCCAGACCGCCAGCUAAGGUCCCAAAGUCAUGGUUAAGUGGGAAACGAUGUGGGAAGGCCCAGACAGCCAGGAUGUUGGCUUAGAAGCAGCCAUCAUUUAAAGAAAGCGUAAUAGCUCACUGGUCGAGUCGGCCUGCGCGGAAGAUGUAACGGGGCUAAACCAUGCACCGAAGCUGCGGCAGCGACGCUUAUGCGUUGUUGGGUAGGGGAGCGUUCUGUAAGCCUGCGAAGGUGGCCUGUGAGGGUUGCUGGAGGUAUCAGAAGUGCGAAUGCUGACAUAAGUAACGAUAAAGCGGGUGAAAAGCCCGCUCGCCGGAAGACCAAGGGUUCCUGUCCAACGUUAAUCGGGGCAGGGUGAGUCGACCCCUAAGGCGAGGCCGAAAGGCGUAGUCGAUGGGAAACGGGUUAAUAUUCCCGUACUUGGUGUUACUGCGAAGGGGGGACGGAGAAGGCUAUGUUGGCCGGGCGACGGUUGUCCCGGUUUAAGCGUGUAGGUGUGUGUUCCAGGUAAAUCCGGUUCACUUUAACACUGAGGCGUGACGACGAGGCACUACGGUGCUGAAGCAACAAAUGCCCUGCUUCCAGGAAAAGCCUCUAAGCAUCAGGUAACAUCAAAUCGUACCCCAAACCGACACAGGUGGUCAGGUAGAGAAUACCAAGGCGCUUGAGAGAACUCGGGUGAAGGAACUAGGCAAAAUGGUGCCGUAACUUCGGGAGAAGGCACGCUGACACGUAGGUGAAGUGAUUUACUCAUGGAGCUGAAGUCAGUCGAAGAUACCAGCUGGCUGCAACUGUUUAUUAAAAACACAGCACUGUGCAAACACGAAAGUGGACGUAUACGGUGUGACGCCUGCCCGGUGCCGGAAGGUUAAUUGAUGGGGUCAGCGCAAGCGAAGCUCCUGAUCGAAGCCCCGGUAAACGGCGGCCGUAACUAUAACGGUCCUAAGGUAGCGAAAUUCCUUGUCGGGUAAGUUCCGACCUGCACGAAUGGCGUAAUGAUGGCCAGGCUGUCUCCACCCGAGACUCAGUGAAAUUGAACUCGCUGUGAAGAUGCAGUGUACCCGCGGCAAGACGGAAAGACCCCGUGAACCUUUACUAUAGCUUGACACUGAACAUUGAGCCUUGAUGUGUAGGAUAGGUGGGAGGCUUUGAAGUGUGGACGCCAGUCUGCAUGGAGCCGACCUUGAAAUACCACCCUUUAAUGUUUGAUGUUCUAACGUGGACCCGUAAUCCGGGUUGCGGACAGUGUCUGGUGGGUAGUUUGACUGGGGCGGUCUCCUCCUAAAGAGUAACGGAGGAGCACGAAGGUUGGCUAAUCCUGGUCGGACAUCAGGAGGUUAGUGCAAUGGCAUAAGCCAGCUUGACUGCGAGCGUGACGGCGCGAGCAGGUGCGAAAGCAGGUCAUAGUGAUCCGGUGGUUCUGAAUGGAAGGGCCAUCGCUCAACGGAUAAAAGGUACUCCGGGGAUAACAGGCUGAUACCGCCCAAGAGUUCAUAUCGACGGCGGUGUUUGGCACCUCGAUGUCGGCUCAUCACAUCCUGGGGCUGAAGUAGGUCCCAAGGGUAUGGCUGUUCGCCAUUUAAAGUGGUACGCGAGCUGGGUUUAGAACGUCGUGAGACAGUUCGGUCCCUAUCUGCCGUGGGCGCUGGAGAACUGAGGGGGGCUGCUCCUAGUACGAGAGGACCGGAGUGGACGCAUCACUGGUGUUCGGGUUGUCAUGCCAAUGGCACUGCCCGGUAGCUAAAUGCGGAAGAGAUAAGUGCUGAAAGCAUCUAAGCACGAAACUUGCCCCGAGAUGAGUUCUCCCUGAGACUUAGAGUCUCCUGAAGGAACGUUGAAGACGACGACGUUGAUAGGCCGGGUGUGUAAGCGCAGCGAUGCGUUGAGCUAACCGGUACUAAUGAACCGUGAGGCUUAACCUU
Molecule: ribosomal RNA, 2906 nt
Filed under: Salmonella enterica
Lineage: Bacteria; Pseudomonadati; Pseudomonadota; Gammaproteobacteria; Enterobacterales; Enterobacteriaceae
Description: 23S ribosomal RNA
Rfam family: Bacterial large subunit ribosomal RNA
Source: RNAcentral